Molecule: ribosomal RNA, 462 nt
Filed under: uncultured bacterium
Lineage: Bacteria
Description: partial 16S ribosomal RNA
Rfam family: Bacterial small subunit ribosomal RNA
Source: RNAcentral
GACGAACGCUGGCGGCGUGCUUAACACAUGCAAGUCGAGCGGAAAGGCCCUUCGGGGUCCUCGAGCGGCGAACGGGUGAGUAACACGUGAGUAACCUGCCCCAGACUUUGGGAUAACCCUCGGAAACGGGGGCUAAUACCGGAUACGACACAGCUUCGCAUGGGGUCUGUGUGGAAAGUUUUUCGGUUUGGGAUGGGCUCGCGGCCUAUCAGCUUGUUGGUGGGGUGAUGGCCUACCAAGGCGACGACGGGUAGCCGGCCUGUGUGGGCGACCGGCCACACUGGGACUGAGACACGGCCCAGACUCCUACGGGAGGCAGCAGUGGGGAAUAUUGCACAAUGGGCGGAAGCCUGAUGCAGCGACGCCGCGUGAGGGAUGACGGCCUUCGGGUUGUAAACCUCUUUCAGCAGGGACGAAGCGUAAGUGACGGUACCUGCAGAAGAAGCGCCGGCCAACUACGUG